This 303-nucleotide ribosomal RNA is filed under the name uncultured bacterium. RNAcentral's name for it is "partial 16S ribosomal RNA". It matches the Rfam family "Bacterial small subunit ribosomal RNA", at positions 507 to 807 of the family's 1533-position model. The record is from RNAcentral.
AGCAGUCGCCGCGGUAAUACGGAGGGUGCAAGCGUUAAUCGGAAUUACUGGGCGUAAAGCGCACGCAGGCGGUCUGUCAAGUCAGAUGUGAAAUCCCCGGGCUUAACCUGGGAACUGCAUUUGAAACUGGCAGGCUAGAGUCUUGUAGAGGGGGGUAGAAUUCCAGGUGUAGCGGUGAAAUGCGUAGAGAUCUGGAGGAAUACCGGUGGCGAAGGCGGCCCCCUGGACAAAGACUGACGCUCAGGUGCGAAAGCGUGGGGAGCAAACAGGAUUAGAUACCCCGGUAGUCCCUGUCUCUUAUAC